UGUGAGCUCGAUGAGUAGGGCGGGACACGUGGUAUCCUGUCUGAAUAUGGGGGGACCAUCCUCCAAGGCUAAAUACUCCUGACUGACCGAUAGUGAACCAGUACCGUGAGGGAAAGGCGAAAAGAACCCCGGCGAGGGGAGUGAAAAAGAACCUGAAACCGUGUACGUACAAGCAGUGGGAGCACGCUUAGGCGUGUGACUGCGUACCUUUUGUAUAAUGGGUCAGCGACUUAUAUUCUGUAGCAAGGUUAACCGAAUAGGGGAGCCGAAGGGAAACCGAGUCUUAACUGGGCGUUAAGUUGCAGGGUAUAGACCCGAAACCCGGUGAUCUAGCCAUGGGCAGGUUGAAGGUUGGGUAACACUAACUGGAGGACCGAACCGACUAAUGUUGAAAAAUUAGCGGAUGACUUGUGGCUGGGGGUGAAAGGCCAAUCAAACCGGGAGAUAGCUGGUUCUCCCCGAAAGCUAUUUAGGUAGCGCCUCGUGAAUUCAUCUCCGGGGGUAGAGCACUGUUUCGGCAAGGGGGUCAUCCCGACUUACCAACCCGAUGCAAACUGCGAAUACCGGAGAAUGUUAUCACGGGAGACACACGGCGGGUGCUAACGUCCGUCGUGAAGAGGGAAACAACCCAGACCGCCAGCUAAGGUCCCAAAGUCAUGGUUAAGUGGGAAACGAUGUGGGAAGGCCCAGACAGCCAGGAUGUUGGCUUAGAAGCAGCCAUCAUUUAAAGAAAGCGUAAUAGCUCACUGGUCGAGUCGGCCUGCGCGGAAGAUGUAACGGGGCUAAACCAUGCACCGAAGCUGCGGCAGCGACGCUUAUGCGUUGUUGGGUAGGGGAGCGUUCUGUAAGCCUGUGAAGGUGUGCUGUGAGGCAUGCUGGAGGUAUCAGAAGUGCGAAUGCUGACAUAAGUAACGAUAAAGCGGGUGAAAAGCCCGCUCGCCGGAAGACCAAGGGUUCCUGUCCAACGUUAAUCGGGGCAGGGUGAGUCGACCCCUAAGGCGAGGCCGAAAGGCGUAGUCGAUGGGAAACAGGUUAAUAUUCCUGUACUUGGUGUUACUGCGAAGGGGGGACGGAGAAGGCUAUGUUGGCCGGGCGACGGUUGUCCCGGUUUAAGCGUGUAGGCUGGUUUUCCAGGCAAAUCCGGAAAAUCAAGGCUGAGGCGUGAUGACGAGGCACUACGGUGCUGAAG
Molecule: ribosomal RNA, 1189 nt
Filed under: Escherichia coli
Lineage: Bacteria; Pseudomonadati; Pseudomonadota; Gammaproteobacteria; Enterobacterales; Enterobacteriaceae
Description: partial 23S ribosomal RNA
Rfam family: Bacterial large subunit ribosomal RNA
Source: RNAcentral